Molecule: ribosomal RNA, 811 nt
Filed under: uncultured Acidobacteriota bacterium
Lineage: Bacteria; Pseudomonadati; Acidobacteriota
Description: bacterial SSU rRNA
Rfam family: Bacterial small subunit ribosomal RNA
Source: RNAcentral
AGAGUUUGAUCAUGGCUCAGAAUCAACGCUGGCGGCGUGCCUCAGACAUGCAAGUCGAACGCGAAAGGCCCCUUCGGGGGCCGAGUAGAGUGGCGCACGGGUGAGUAACACGUGGGUAAUUUGCCUUCGGGUGGGGAAUAACAGCCGGAAACGGCUGCUAAUACCGCAUAAUGCAGCGGCACCUUAUGGUGACAGUUGUUAAAGCGGGGAAUCCUUCGGGACCUCGCGCCUGAAGAGAAGCUCGCGGCGGAUUAGCUAGUUGGUAGGGUAAUGGCCUACCAAGGCGACGAUCCGUAGCCGGCCUGAGAGGGCGGUCGGCCACACUGACACUGACACACGGGUCAGACUCCUACGGGAGGCAGCAGUCGGGAAUUUUGGGCAAUGGGCGAAAGCCUGACCCAGCAACGCCGCGUGAAGGAUGAAGUCCCUCGGGGUGUAAACUUCACAAGAAUGGGAAGAAUAAGGCGGUGUUAACACCCCCGCCGAUGACGGUACCAUUUGUAAGCUCCGGCUAACUCCGUGCCAGCAGCCGCGGUAAUACGGGGGGAGCAAGCGUUGUUCGGAUUUACUGGGCGUAAAGGGCGCGUAGGCGGCGCAACAAGUCGGUUGUGAAAUCUCCGGGCUUAACUCGGAGCGGCCAACCGAUACUGUCGUGCUAGAGUGCGGAAGGGGCAACUGGAAUUCUCGGUGUAGCGGUGAAAUGCGUAGAUAUCGAGAGGGACACCUGCGGCGAAGGCGGGUUGCUGGGCCGACACUGACGCUGAGGCGCGAAAGCUAGGGGAGCGAACGGGAUUAGAUACCCCUGUAGUCC